AAUGAACGCUGGCGGCAGGCCUAACACAUGCAAGUCGAACGGCAGCACGGGGGCAACCCUGGUGGCGAGUGGCGAACGGGUGAGUAAUACAUCGGAACGUGCCCAGUCGUGGGGGAUAACGUAGCGAAAGCUACGCUAAUACCGCAUACGAUCUACGGAUGAAAGCGGGGGAUCGCAAGACCUCGCGCGAUUGGAGCGGCCGAUGGCAGAUUAGGUAGUUGGUGGGGUAAAGGCUCACCAAGCCGACGAUCUGUAGCUGGUCUGAGAGGACGACCAGCCACACUGGGACUGAGACACGGCCCAGACUCCUACGGGAGGCAGCAGUGGGGAAUUUUGGACAAUGGGCGCAAGCCUGAUCCAGCCAUUCCGCGUGCAGGAUGAAGGCCCUCGGGUUGUAAACUGCUUUUGUACGGAACGAAACGGCUCUCUCUAAUACAGGGGGCUAAUGACGGUACCGUAAGAAUAAGCACCGGCUAACUACGUGCCAGCAGCCGCGGUAA
Molecule: ribosomal RNA, 500 nt
Filed under: uncultured bacterium
Lineage: Bacteria
Description: partial 16S ribosomal RNA
Rfam family: Bacterial small subunit ribosomal RNA
Source: RNAcentral